RNAcentral lists this transfer RNA (72 nucleotides) under Clavibacter michiganensis subsp. michiganensis. Its description in RNAcentral is "tRNA-Arg". It matches the Rfam family "tRNA". From Rfam's summary of the family: Transfer RNA (tRNA) molecules are approximately 80 nucleotides in length. Their secondary structure includes four short double-helical elements and three loops (D, anti-codon, and T loops). Lineage: Bacteria; Bacillati; Actinomycetota; Actinomycetes; Micrococcales; Microbacteriaceae. The record is from RNAcentral.
GCCUCUGUAGCUCAAUGGAAGAGCAGUUCCGUCCUAAGGAAAGGGUUGGGGGUUCGAGUCUCUCCAGGGGCA